UGACAAGACUGACGCUCAGGUGCGAAAGCGUGGGGAGCAAACAGGAUUAGAUACCUGGUAGUCCACGCUGUAAACGAUGUCGAUUUGGAGGUGUUCCCUUGAGGAGUGGCUUCCGGAGCUAACGCGUUAAAUCGACCGCCUGGGGAGUACGGCCGCAAGGUUAAAACUCAAAUGAAUUGACGGGGGCCCGCACAAGCGGUGGAGCAUGUGGUUUAAUUCGAUGCAACGCGAAGAACCUUACCUACUCUUGACAUCCAGAGAAUUUAGCAGAGAUGCUUUAGUGCCUUCGGGAACUCUGAGACAGGUGCUGCAUGGCUGUCGUCAGCUCGUGUUGUGAAAUGUUGGGUUAAGUCCCGCAACGAGCGCAACCCUUAUCCUUUGUUGCCAGCACAUUAUGGUGGGAACUCAAAGGAGACUGCCGGUGAUAAACCGGAGGAAGGUGGGGAUGACGUCAAGUCAUCAUGGCCCUUACGAGUAGGGCUACACACGUGCUACAAUGGCGUAUACAAAGAGAAGCGACCUCGCGAGAGCAAGCGGAACUCAUAAAGUACGUCGUAGUCCGGAUUGGAGUCUGCAACUCGACUCCAUGAAGUCGGAAUCGCUAGUAAUCGUAGAUCAGAAUGCUACGGUGAAUACGUUCCCGGGCCUUGUACACACCGCCCGUCACACCAUGGGAGUGGGUUGCAAAAGAAGUAGGUAGCUUAACCUUCGGGAGGGCGCUUACCACUUUGUGAUUCAUGACUGGGGUGAAGUCGUAACAAGGUAACCA
This 769-nucleotide ribosomal RNA is filed under the name uncultured Providencia sp. RNAcentral's name for it is "bacterial SSU rRNA". It matches the Rfam family "Bacterial small subunit ribosomal RNA", at positions 732 to 1502 of the family's 1533-position model. Lineage: Bacteria; Pseudomonadati; Pseudomonadota; Gammaproteobacteria; Enterobacterales; Morganellaceae. The record is from RNAcentral.